GCUGCCUUAGCUCAGUCGGUAGAGCAGCUGAUUUGUAAUCAGCAGGUCGUGGGUUCGAGGCCUACAGGCAGCA
Molecule: transfer RNA, 73 nt
Filed under: Leptonema illini
Lineage: Bacteria; Pseudomonadati; Spirochaetota; Leptospiria; Leptospirales; Leptospiraceae
Also listed under: 2 other names
Description: tRNA-Thr
Rfam family: tRNA
About the family: Transfer RNA (tRNA) molecules are approximately 80 nucleotides in length. Their secondary structure includes four short double-helical elements and three loops (D, anti-codon, and T loops).
Source: RNAcentral